CUCUCUCUACAGCUAGCUACCUAGCUAGAGCUAGUAUCUACCCGCCAUUGCAUUGCACCACCUCUGUCCUCGAUCUCUAUUGCUCGACCAUACACACACACACACACACGAUCGACUGCUCCAGCUCGCGCGGGAGAAGCUCGCCGGCGGUCGAUCAGCUACAGCUAGUAGCUUGGACUAAUAACUCUGCUGUAUCUGUAUGGAUAUGGCAAUGAGCCAGCACAGCUCCGACACCUCGUCCACGUCCUCCUACUCGUCCGACCCCUCCUCCACGUCGUCCACCAGCCCGCGCGCCGCCGCCGGCACCAGCAACGGCAAGAAGCGCCCGCACGACGGCGCCGCCGCCGCCGCCCCGGCGUACCGCGGCGUCCGCAUGCGCGCGUGGGGCAAGUGGGUGUCGGAGAUCAGGGAGCCCCGCAAGAAGUCGCGCAUCUGGCUGGGCACCUUCCCGCGCCCGGAGAUGGCGGCGCGCGCGCCGUGCUCAACUUCCCGGCCCUCGCGCGCCACCUCCCGCGCCCGGCCUCCCUGGCGCCGCGCGACGUCCAGGCCGCCGCCGCGCGCGCCGCCGUCAUGCACGAGCCAGAGCCUCAACGACCUGAUGAGCCCGGACGGCAGCCCGUGGAGGAGGUGGCCCUGGCCGCCGAGCUGGUGUUCGACGACCUGGCGCCUCUGUGGGUGGAGGACGUGGUGGAGUUGGGCCCGUGCCCGUCCCAGCAUAGCUCGUGGACGCCGUGCGAUGGGCUCGACGCCGCCGCCGCCUGUCUCCACUCUCUCCCUCUCUUGUGGGACUACUAGCUGCUACUAGGCUCCUUGCUCCGUUUGUACAUGGCCUUGAACCAUUUUCGUUUCCGCUUGUUUUUUUUUUUUUGGUUUUCACUUGUUUUCAUAUAUCCACCGGAGCUACCUACAAAGAGUAAAUCCCUACUCGCACUGUACUACUUCUCGUAUAUUUGGACUAAAUUUUGGCGGGUAGCCAUCGCUUAAACCAA
Zea mays is the source of this 989-nucleotide RNA transcript. It is a transcript of the gene named ethylene-responsive transcription factor ERF039-like, with no coding region annotated. The record is from RefSeq and is marked validated. The transcript has a single exon. NCBI's taxonomy places the organism in Eukaryota, Viridiplantae, Streptophyta, Magnoliopsida, Poales, Poaceae.